Molecule: ribosomal RNA, 497 nt
Filed under: uncultured bacterium
Lineage: Bacteria
Description: partial 16S ribosomal RNA
Rfam family: Bacterial small subunit ribosomal RNA
Source: RNAcentral
GACGAACGCUGACGGCGUGCCUAAUACAUGCAAGUUGAGCGCUGAAGGUUGGUACUUGUACCGACUGGAUGAGCAGCGAACGGGUGAGUAACGCGUGGGGAAUCUGCCUUUGAGCGGGGGACAACAUUUGGAAACGAAUGCUAAUACCGCAUAAAAACUUUAAACACAAGUUUUAAGUUUGAAAGAUGCAAUUGCAUCACUCAAAGAUGAUCCCGCGUUGUAUUAGCUAGUUGGUGAGGUAAAGGCUCACCAAGGCGAUGAUACAUAGCCGACCUGAGAGGGUGAUCGGCCACAUUGGGACUGAGACACGGCCCAAACUCCUACGGGAGGCAGCAGUAGGGAAUCUUCGGCAAUGGACGAAAGUCUGACCGAGCAACGCCGCGUGAGUGAAGAAGGUUUUCGGAUCGUAAAACUCUGUUGGUAGAGAAGAACGUUGGUGAGAGUGGAAAGCUCAUCAAGUGACGGUAACUACACAGAAAGGGACGGCUAACUACGUG